UCAUGGCUCAGGAUGAACGCUAGCGGGAGGCUUAACACAUGCAAGUCGAGGGGCAGCAUAAGGUAGCAAUACUUUGAUGGCGACCGGCGCACGGGUGAGUAACGCGUAUGUAACCUACCCUGUACAGGGGGAUAGCCCGGAGAAAUUCGGAUUAAUACCCCAUAAUGAUAUUGAGAGGCAUCUUUUAAUAUUUAAAGUUUCGGCGGUACGGGAUGGGCAUGCGUGACAUUAGCUAGUUGGUAGGGUAACGGCCUACCAAGGCUGCGAUGUCUAGGGGUCCUGAGAGGGUGAUCCCCCACACUGGUACUGAGACACGGACCAGACUCCUACGGGAGGCAGCAGUGAGGAAUAUUGGUCAAUGGGCGCAAGCCUGAACCAGCCAUCCCGCGUGCAGGAAGAAGGCGCUAUGCGUCGUAAACUGCUUUUCCAGGGGAAGAAAACCUGAUACGUGUAUCGGCUUGCCGGUACCCUGGGAAUAAGCAUCGGCUAACUCCGUGCCAGCAGCCGCGGUAAUACGGAGGAUGCGAGCGUUAUCCGGAUUUAUUGGGUUUAAAGGGUGCGUAGGCGGAUUAAUAAGUCAGUGGUGAAAACCUUCAGCUUAACUGGAGACUUGCCAUUGAUACUGUUAGUCUUGAGUACGGUCAAGGUAGGCGGAAUGUGUAAUGUAGCGGUGAAAUGCUUAGAUAUUACACAGAACACCGAUUGCGAAGGCAGCUUACUGGGCCAUUACUGACGCUGAUGCACGAAAGCGUGGGGAGCGAACAGGAUUAGAUACCCUGGUAGUCCACGCCGUAAACGAUGAUCACUCGCUGUUAGCGAUACACAGUUAGCGGCUAAGCAAAAGCAUUAAGUGAUCCACCUGGGGAGUACGGCCGCAAGGCUGAAAACUCAAU
Molecule: ribosomal RNA, 893 nt
Filed under: uncultured bacterium
Lineage: Bacteria
Description: bacterial SSU rRNA
Rfam family: Bacterial small subunit ribosomal RNA
Source: RNAcentral